RNAcentral lists this ribosomal RNA (440 nucleotides) under uncultured bacterium. Its description in RNAcentral is "partial 16S ribosomal RNA". It matches the Rfam family "Bacterial small subunit ribosomal RNA", at positions 338 to 795 of the family's 1533-position model. The record is from RNAcentral.
CCUACGGGAGGCUGCAGUGAGGGAUAUUGGUCAAUGGGGGAAACCCUGAACCAGCAACGCCGCGUGAGGGAAGACGGUUUUCGGAUUGUAAACCUCUGUCCUCUGUGAAGAUAAUGACGGUAGCAGAGGAGGAAGCUCCGGCUAACUACGUGCCAGCAGCCGCGGUAAUACGUAGGGAGCAAGCGUUGUCCGGAUUUACUGGGUGUAAAGGGUGCGUAGGCGGCCCUGCAAGUCAGAAGUGAAAUCCAUGGGCUUAACCCGUGAACUGCUUUUGAAACUGUAGGGCUUGAGUGAAGUAGAGGCAGGCGGAAUGCCCGGUGUAGCGGUGAAAUGCGUAGAGAUCGGGAGGAACACCAGUGGCGAAGGCGGCCUACUGGGCUUUAACUGACGCUGAAGCACGAAAGCGUGGGUAGCAAACAGGAUUAGAUACCCCUGUAGUC